GAUGAACGCUGGCGGCGUGCCUAAUACAUGCAAGUCGAGCGAACAGACGAGGAGCUUGCUCCUCUGAUGUUAGCGGCGGACGGGUGAGUAACACGUGGAUAACCUACCUAUAAGACUGGGAUAACUUCGGGAAACCGGAGCUAAUACCGGAUAACAUGUUGAACCGCAUGGUUCAACAGUGAAAGACGGUCUUGCUGUCACUUAUAGAUGGAUCCGCGCCGCAUUAGCUAGUUGGUAAGGUAACGGCUUACCAAGGCAACGAGGCGUAGCCGACCUGAGAGGGGGAUCGGCCACACUGGAACUGAGACACGGUCCAGACUCCUACGGGAGGCAGCAGUAGGGAAUCUUCCGCAAUGGGCGAAAGCCUGACGGAGCAACGCCGCGUGAGUGAAGAAGGUCUUCGGAUCGUAAAACUCUGUUAUUAGGGAAGAACAAAUGUGUAAGUAACUAUGCACGUCUUGACGGUACCUAAUCAGAAAGCCACGGCUAACUACGUG
Molecule: ribosomal RNA, 497 nt
Filed under: uncultured bacterium
Lineage: Bacteria
Description: partial 16S ribosomal RNA
Rfam family: Bacterial small subunit ribosomal RNA
Source: RNAcentral